Molecule: transfer RNA, 72 nt
Filed under: Heterocephalus glaber (naked mole-rat)
Lineage: Eukaryota; Metazoa; Chordata; Mammalia; Rodentia; Bathyergidae
Rfam family: tRNA
About the family: Transfer RNA (tRNA) molecules are approximately 80 nucleotides in length. Their secondary structure includes four short double-helical elements and three loops (D, anti-codon, and T loops).
Source: Rfam by way of RNAcentral
GGGAGUGUAGCUCAGUUGUAGAGCACAUGCUUAGCACACAUGACGUCCUGGGUUCAAUUCCCAGUGCAUGCA